RNAcentral lists this ribosomal RNA (1141 nucleotides) under Candidatus Synechococcus spongiarum. Its description in RNAcentral is "bacterial SSU rRNA". It matches the Rfam family "Bacterial small subunit ribosomal RNA", at positions 376 to 1533 of the family's 1533-position model. Lineage: Bacteria; Bacillati; Cyanobacteriota; Cyanophyceae; Synechococcales; Synechococcaceae. The record is from RNAcentral.
CGAAAGCCUGACGGAGCAACGCCGCGUGAGGGAUGGAGGCCUUUGGGCUGUAAACCUCUUUUCUCAAGGAAGAAGAUCUGACGGUACUUGAGGAAUAAGCCACGGCUAAUUCCGUGCCAGCAGCCGCGGUAAUACGGGAGUGGCAAGCGUUAUCCGGAAUUAUUGGGCGUAAAGCGUCCGCAGGCGGCCGUUUAAGUCUGUUGUUAAAUCGUGGAGCUCAACUCCAUCACGGCAAUGGAAACUGUUCGGCUUGAGUAUGGUAGGGGCAGAGGGAAUUUCCGGUGUAGCGGUGAAAUGCGCAGAUAUCAGGAAGAACACCAGUGGCGAAAGCGCUCUGCUGGGCCAUUACUGACGCUCAUGGACGAAAGCCAGGGGAGCGAAAGGGAUUAGAUACCCCUGUAGUCCUGGCCGUAAACGAUGAACACUAGAUGUUGGGGGAAUCGACCCCCUCGGUGUCGUAGCUAACGCGUUAAGUGUUCCGCCUGGGGAGUACGCACGCAAGUGUGAAACUCAAAGGAAUUGACGGGGGCCCGCACAAGCGGUGGAGUAUGUGGUUUAAUUCGAUGCAACGCGAAGAACCUUACCAAGGCUUGACAUCCUGCGAAUCUCUAAGAAAUUAGAGAGUGCCUUCGGGAACGCAGUGACAGGUGGUGCAUGGCUGUCGUCAGCUCGUGUCGUGAGAUGUUGGGUUAAGUCCCGCAACGAGCGCAACCCACGUUUUUAGUUGCCAGCAUUCAGUUGGGCACUCUAGAAAGACUGCCGGUGACAAACCGGAGGAAGGUGUGGACGACGUCAAGUCAUCAUGCCCCUUACGCCUUGGGCUACACACGUACUACAAUGCUGCGGACAAAGAGUAGCGAUCUUGCGAAAGUUAGCUAAUCUCACAAACCGUGGCUCAGUUCAGAUCGUAGGCUGCAACUCGCCUACGUGAAGGAGGAAUCGCUAGUAAUCGCAGGUCAGCAUACUGCGGUGAAUACGUUCCCGGGCCUUGUACACACCGCCCGUCACACCAUGGAAGUUGGCCAUGCCCGAAGUCGUUACUCUAACCUUUUGGAAGAGGGCGCCGAAGGCAGGGCUAAUGACUGGGGUGAAGUCGUAACAAGGUAGCCGUAGCGGAAGCUGCGGCUGGAUCACCUCCUAA